AUUUUUUUUUAAACCAGACCUAUAGUCUGUGUCUGCAAGCAGAAGAAAGCGUGCACAGUGUAGCAUACCUUGGACAUUUGUCUGUACGGAUUACUAAACCUUUCCUCCAGAUUUUUUUUUUGGCACCUGCUUCGACUUUUUUUUCUAAUCAUUUAUAAUCCAACCGAACAAUACGGGUUCUAUCGUAUCCCACACCAUUAAUAUUGAAUUGCGUUUUUACUUUACAGAGUAUCAUUGGGGGUAUAUGAGUUUUGAAAUAUUCUGGCGUUUUUAACCGGACACAUUCUUAAAUUAUCGGACACGUUUUUGAGAUUGUAACAAUACAAAAAAGGUUAUUGUCUUAAGUCAGGAGUUUGGUAUUCAGUAGUUGGUUUUCAAGUUUGAAUGGUUUUACACUAGUCACUUUUGGGGCCCUUUACACCUUGCUGUUCGGUGAGAGCUCAUGCAGGCACGGUGUUGAAGACCGUACUUUGACCUAUAAUGGUUUACUUCUACAAAUUACGACUUAUAUGAACAGGAGACUUUUCUCAUUGGCAGUUAUACCACAUCUUCUUAUAUAUUAAUACAACACUGAGCCACCCAACCC
Molecule: long non-coding RNA, 586 nt
Filed under: Mytilus galloprovincialis (Mediterranean mussel)
Lineage: Eukaryota; Metazoa; Mollusca; Bivalvia; Mytilida; Mytilidae
Source: RNAcentral